RNAcentral lists this ribosomal RNA (721 nucleotides) under Bacillus sp. CSu1_3. Its description in RNAcentral is "bacterial SSU rRNA". It matches the Rfam family "Bacterial small subunit ribosomal RNA", at positions 57 to 760 of the family's 1533-position model. Lineage: Bacteria; Bacillati; Bacillota; Bacilli; Caryophanales; Bacillaceae. The record is from RNAcentral.
GCAAGUCGAGCGGACAGAUGGGAGCUUGCUCCCUGAUGUUAGCGGCGGACGGGUGAGUAACACGUGGGUAACCUGCCUGUAAGACUGGGAUAACUCCGGGAAACCGGGGCUAAUACCGGAUGCUUGUUUGAACCGCAUGGUUCAAACAUAAAAGGUGGCUUCGGCUACCACUUACAGAUGGACCCGCGGCGCAUUAGCUAGUUGGUGAGGUAACGGCUCACCAAGGCAACGAUGCGUAGCCGACCUGAGAGGGUGAUCGGCCACACUGGGACUGAGACACGGCCCAGACUCCUACGGGAGGCAGCAGUAGGGAAUCUUCCGCAAUGGACGAAAGUCUGACGGAGCAACGCCGCGUGAGUGAUGAAGGUUUUCGGAUCGUAAAGCUCUGUUGUUAGGGAAGAACAAGUACCGUUCGAAUAGGGCGGUACCUUGACGGUACCUAACCAGAAAGCCACGGCUAACUACGUGCCAGCAGCCGCGGUAAUACGUAGGUGGCAAGCGUUGUCCGGAAUUAUUGGGCGUAAAGGGCUCGCAGGCGGUUUCUUAAGUCUGAUGUGAAAGCCCCCGGCUCAACCGGGGAGGGUCAUUGGAAACUGGGGAACUUGAGUGCAGAAGAGGAGAGUGGAAUUCCACGUGUAGCGGUGAAAUGCGUAGAGAUGUGGAGGAACACCAGUGGCGAAGGCGACUCUCUGGUCUGUAACUGACGCUGAGGAGCGAAAGC